GGGCCCGCACAAGUAGUGGAGCAUGUGGUUUAAUUCGAAGAUACGCGCAGAACCUUACCAACACUUGACAUGUUCGUCGCGACUCUAAGAGAUUAGAGUUUUCGGUUCGGCCGGACGAAACACAGGUGCUGCAUGGCUGUCGUCAGCUCGUGUCGUGAGAUGUUGGGUUAAGUCCCGCAACGAGCGCAACCCUCACUUUUAGUUGCCAUCAUUUAGUUGGGCACUCUGAAAGAACUGCCAGUGAUAAGCUGGAGGAAGGUGGGGAUGACGUCAAGUCCUCAUGGCCCUUACGUGUUGGGCUACACACGUGCUACAAUGGUAUCUACAGAGGGAAGCGAGACAGUGAUGUGGAGCGGACCCCUUAAAGAAUGUCGUAGUCCGGAUUGGAGUCUGCAACUCGACUCCAUGAAGUAGGAAUCGCUAGUAAUCG
RNAcentral lists this ribosomal RNA (430 nucleotides) under uncultured bacterium. RNAcentral describes it as "bacterial SSU rRNA". It matches the Rfam family "Bacterial small subunit ribosomal RNA", at positions 917 to 1344 of the family's 1533-position model. The record is from RNAcentral.